AGAGGAAAGGAGGGAAAGGGAAGAGUGAGAGAGAGAGAGAGAGAGAAAGAGAGACUGGGGGGGAAAGAGACUGGGGCAGAGAAAAAGGGAUAGAUGGGAAAAACGGCAGACCAGGGCUGCAUUUGGUGGGGGUGAGUGCCAUGCUGUAGGCUGUGGGACAGUCGGGGUAGUGCAAGGUGUUGCUACUGCUAGGUGUGGUUUGGUUUACAGAGAGGGAAGAGCAUGCAUAGUGAUAAUGGUGGAGGUAAAAAAAAGGGGGGAGAGAUGGAAGGAUUGGUCAUGCGCAAGACCGCAAGCCGUUGGAGGCAGCUUAGAAAUCUCUUACAUCUGGAACAGCCGUAAUUCGUGGGAUUUGGCCUGACAGCCAUGACAGUCAUCGGGGCAGCCGACAACAACUGUCUCCUGUGUUAGCGGCAGCAGUGCAUAUGUGUGUGUAUGACAGACGAGCUGAAAUGAAUGAAAAUAUUUUAUCUAUGGAAAAUCAUUUUUCUUGUCAUUGUGUGGCUUUUUUUGCCAUUCAUUCUAUAAGCAUUGCUUGCUGUAAUUCUGUUAAGUUCAGAUAAGGUACACAAAUAAAGUGAUCUUCAUCUUA
Molecule: long non-coding RNA, 592 nt
Organism: Girardinichthys multiradiatus
Lineage: Eukaryota; Metazoa; Chordata; Actinopteri; Cyprinodontiformes; Goodeidae
Exons: 3
Source: RefSeq, a predicted model, not a curated record